AGUCCACCCCCGUAAACGUUUGGGAACUAGUUGUGGGGUCCAUUCCACGGAUUCCGUGACGCAGCUAACGCAUUAAGUUCCCCCGCCUGGGGAGUACGGCCGCAAGGCUAAAACUCAAAGGAAUUGACCGGGGACCCGCACAAGCGGCGGAGCAUGCGGAUUAAUUCGAUGCAACGCGAAGAACCUUACCAAGGCUUGACAUAUACGAGAACGGGCCAGAAAUGGUCAACUCUUUGGACACUCGUAAACAGGUGGUGCAUGGUUGUCGUCAGCUCGUGUCGUGAGAUGAUGGGUUAAGUCCCGCAACGAGCGCAACCCUCGUUGUAUGUUGCCAGCACGUAAUGGUGGGAACUCAUGGGAUACUGCCGGGGUCAACUCGGAGGAAGGUGGGGAUGACGUCAAAUCAUCAUGCCCCUUAUGUCUUGGGCUUCACGCAUGCUACAAUGGCCGGUACAAAGGGCUGCAAUACCGCGAGGUGGAGCGAAUCCCAAAAAGCCGGUCCCAGUUCGGAUUGAGGUCUGCAACUCGACCUCAUGAAGUCGGAGUCGCUAGUAAUCGCAGAUCAGCAACGCUGCGGUGAAUACGUUCCCGGGUCUUGUACACACCGCCCGUCAAGUCAUGAAAGUCGGUAACACACUGAAGCCGGUNGCAUAACCUUUUUGGAGGGAGCCGUCGNAGGUGG
RNAcentral lists this ribosomal RNA (682 nucleotides) under extreme arid zone bacterium HX-IE04. RNAcentral's name for it is "bacterial SSU rRNA". It matches the Rfam family "Bacterial small subunit ribosomal RNA", at positions 792 to 1465 of the family's 1533-position model. The record is from RNAcentral.